This 244-nucleotide ribosomal RNA is filed under the name uncultured bacterium. RNAcentral's name for it is "partial small subunit ribosomal RNA". It matches the Rfam family "Bacterial small subunit ribosomal RNA", at positions 26 to 285 of the family's 1533-position model. The record is from RNAcentral.
AGAAUCAACGCUGGCGGCGUGCCUAACACAUGCAAGUCGAACGAGAAAGUGGAGCAAUCCAUGAGUAAAGUGGCGCACGGGUGAGUAACACGUGACUAACCUACCCUUGAGUGGGGAAUAACUGAGGGAAACCUUAGCUAAUACCGCAUAACACCUACGGGUCAAAGGAGCAAUUCGCUUAAGGAGGGGUCGCGGCAGAUUAGUUAGUUGGCAGGGUAAUGGCCUACCAAGACAGUGAUCUGUA